AUCUAAGUAGUCUAAGUUAAAGACAUAAUAUUGAAGAUAUUAGGAUAAGAUUUCUUCUUAGAUA
This 64-nucleotide transfer RNA is filed under the name Hydaropsis longirostris. RNAcentral describes it as "tRNA-Phe". RNAcentral also lists the same sequence under 1 other name. Lineage: Eukaryota; Metazoa; Arthropoda; Insecta; Hemiptera; Coreidae. The record is from RNAcentral.